GGCGACCUGGCGCCCGCCACCCCGGGGCACGCCCUCGCGGUCGAGCUCGGACCCCGACCCGGACCCCAGCGCCGCCGGGCGAGGGCGGGAGGGGCAGCGCUUACCAGAUCGUCCCGAGCGCGCCGAGCGCGGUCCAGGCGGGCGCAGCGCUGGGUCAAGUUCACGUCCGGCCCGCGGGCUGCCCGAGGUCCCCGGGGCGCGGCCGGGGGCAGCGGGAGGCGCGGGAGGCUGAGGUCCCAGGUGGCCGCCGUGGCCGCCCCCGAGGCGCUGCUGUCACCCCGGCCGCGCCCCCCAACUUUCUGCACAGUCGCGGAGCUGGAAGUUUCCGGGCUCCGCGGACGCUGGGCUGGGUUUCAGCCGCGGCUCUGAGGUUGGCAACAAAGAGGGAAAGAAGGAGAAAAAGCAGGCCGGGCAGGGGAGGAAGAGACCCGCGCGGAGGCCGCGGCGCAGAGCCCCAGAACUUCCAAUUCUACCCAGGCGCUUUUUUCGUUGUGUUUUUUUUCUUAAGAGAUGAUUGUCAGCUGAUGGUCGCUUCCAGCAUUCACAGGGGACCUCCUUAGUGGGAAAGUAACCUGCCAGAGAACCCCAAGAUCCUUUUCCACAGGCAUAACAAGCUUUGGCGUCAGUGGUCUGCAAUCUCCCCAAGGCCUACGGUCAGCCUCGCCUGCUCCACAGCACAGUGACUGAAGCUCCAUUAGGGUGUGGGCCAGGUGUUGACGUUUCUUUUUCUUGUUCUUUUUUUUUUUUUUUUGAGACAGAGUCUCGCUCUGUUGCCUAGCUGAGCACAGUGGCGCGAUCUUGGCUCAUUGCAACCUCCACCUCCCGGGUUCAAGCUAUUCUCCUGCCUCAGCCUCCCAGCAUGCUGACAUUUCAAGAGACUCGGCAGCCUCCCGGUUCGUAGUGAAAGCUCCUAUGCAGGCCCUGGCCCUUUCCUGGGAAGGGAAGCCUGACUGUCUCCCACUGCGUCCUCAUUGGAACUCCAUUCCUGAGCUGCGACCACUAUUUUUAGGAUUGGAAAAUGCACUGGGAAUGGCUCAUCUUCCUGAAGUUUGAGCUCAUUUGUUUUCUGACUAGUGGUCACUGGUGAUUAGAGUGUGUCCCAAAGGAAGCUGUCGCCCUAGUCCUAUCAUACCAGGGCUUUGUGGGCGUGUGGCCUGCCCAACGGCAGAGGCCCCCUGUGCGGAAGGGCCCACACUCAAUGCUUGUCCCUGAUCUUAAAAUUCUGAGUCAUUCCUGAUCAAGGGAACCCACGUUUUCAUUUUGUCCCAGGCUCCGAGAGUCACAUCACUGAUCCCGACUUCGGCUGUUGGUCAACUGCUGCAUAAAUAAAAAGAUAAAACAACCAGACAGUGGAAGAUUUGUAAAACCUAGGCGAGUACAAAGUAAGAAAAGGAGAAACCUUUCCGAGUCACCAAGCAAAAUACUGGUCUGGAGUAUCUUUUCAUCUAACUAUACGGAUUUUUACAUAAUCAGGAUAACUUUGUAUAUACGCUUGCGGCUACCUUUAAAAAUAACAUUUUUUUUUUCUAAUUGCAAGACUACACGUUUACUGUAUGGAAUUUGGAAAAUUGGAAAAAAUUACAAAGAAAAAAAGUAGCCUGAGAUUCCCUCACACGAGAUCACCAUUGUUAACAGUUGACGUUCUUUCUUUCUUUUUACACAAUUAUGCAUUUGUUGAGACAAAAAAUAGAUCAUGCUGUAAAUACUACAA
Molecule: long non-coding RNA, 1711 nt
Organism: Callithrix jacchus (white-tufted-ear marmoset)
Lineage: Eukaryota; Metazoa; Chordata; Mammalia; Primates; Cebidae
Source: RefSeq, a predicted model, not a curated record